Suricata suricatta (meerkat) is the source of this 747-nucleotide long non-coding RNA. RefSeq lists it as uncharacterized. The transcript is spliced from 3 exons. The record is from RefSeq and is a predicted model, not a curated record. Lineage: Eukaryota; Metazoa; Chordata; Mammalia; Carnivora; Herpestidae.
GGUCCCCUAAGCAUCGUUCCUGCUCCUCCCGGUUCCCCACCAAAGGCCAUCGAUGAUGCCCAUCUCUGAGCAGAACCUGCAGGUUGAAAGCCUCCCCAACUGGACUUUGGAUCCAGGUCAGGGCGGCCCCACCGGGGGCAGCCUGCUGGCUGCCGGCGCCCAGCGAGAGUCCUGGCUCCCCUGAAAGCCCUCCUGGGCCUGUCUCUGACCUGUACUGGAAGCGGGGGUCUCCAGGGUGCGUCUGCAGCACCUGACGCACUUCCGGGGGGGGCGCCAAGCCCAUCUGCUCUGCCCGAUGCCAGCGCUGCAGCCGUGUGAUCCCUGCCGGGCGGGAAGAAAUCACUGAGACCUCACAGCAGUGUGUUUCCAGAUACCCAAGGGGAUCCUAACCUGCUCUGAGCUGUCUGGACGGUGACUUCCAUCCAGAACAUCCAGGACAGAAGGACUUCCAGAGACAAUGGCCCCCUUCCCAUGGCACCGCAGACCCCAGGCACUCCAGGUCUGUAAGCUGGCCUCCGCGUGCCUGGGCCCCUGCCGCCGAGGCUGCGCCUGAGAGGUGGAACCUUCCCUGGGUCAGCCGUGGGUAGAGGACCAGUAACAAAUUCACAGAAAACCUGGUGACUCGUCAUUUACCAAGAACGGCCUGCCUCAUGCUCAGAAGCUCCAAGACCUGAAGGAGGGACUGGUAUCCCGACACCAUCAGUGGGGAGCUAUUUGGGGGAUCAAGAAUUCAGACUCUGAAAUGCC